CAAAUGUUUGGACACGGACAGCCUGCGCCUCGCCGCCGAGCUCGCCCGCGCCGCCGGACAGACCAUCCUCGCCGACAACCUCAUAGGCAGGACGCUGAACACCCAGGACGUACCGGCGGAACUCGACAGGCUACUGCCUUCCAGGGCCGAGUUAUUCUUGCGAGGGACGCAGCCGAACGGAGGUCAGCCUAACGGAGAUGACGGCAACGGGGAAGAUCAUGAUGAAUAGUUAGGCUUUUAAAAUACAACCAUGGCGUCUAGAAUGCAUGUACAACCCGCUGCAAAAGUGCACGGCCACAAGAAUGAACUCCAUUCAUAAUGUGUCCAUGCAAUUUUCCAGCUCGCUGACCUAUAUAUCUAUCAUCAUCAUUGGCCUUAAAGUCUAUUAUAUACUAUAGAAACAGUCUCAGGUAAGGUGACAACGUGUUUCGUGGCUGUGUAAGCCAAUACGGGAGCGGCAAACACGUCCACAAGCCUGGCAGGUGUAAUGUCCCAGAGGCGAACAGGUGUUGCUCUGAUGACCGCUUACUUGCGACGUGCGAGUGUCUUAAACCAAGCGUCAUCGUGAAUUUUACGCCCGUCGAACACCAGUUUGCGCCACUUGUCUCUGUACUCGGUAAGCUCCUCCCAUUUAUGAACCGGGAUGUUGAUCGAAGGAGUGCGUGUCGUUAUGUCGUAGCAUCGGCCGACCGACGCUUCUGUUGGCAUCAGCUAUGUCGCCAAGCAGAACACGCCGCGGUAAACGAGAAGGUUGCAUUCGAUGCGCAUGCCCCAGCCAGCGUAAGCGUCUCUGCUUUAAGCAGUGCAAAGCUGGGUAACUGAGCAGUCUCAAGAACCCUCUCGUUCGUGACCCUGUCCUUCCAAGAUAUGCCCAAUAUGUUCCGGAUGUGGAGGAGCGCGUGUGGAAAGCGUUGAGACGACGUUCGUGCUUGGCAUACGAUGUCCAGGUCUCAGCCCCGUACAAGAGUAUGCUCAGGAUGCAUGUUUGAUAGACAACCAUCUUGAUUUUCCUGGUUAGAUGUUUAUGUUGCCGUACUCUUGCACUCAACCUCCCAAACAUCGUUGCAGCUUUUCCGAUUCGAACAUCGAUUUCUGCAUCCGGUGAGAGAGCAAAACUUGUCGACUGACUCCAGCGGGGCGCCAUCCAACAGGAUUGUUGGUAUUUCCGCACACCUUUGAGUCAGCACUACAGUUUUCCGGGGUUUGAUGGACAUAGAGAACAGAGCACAGGCACGAGAACACUUGUCCAUAAUAAUUUGAAGGUCAAACUGCGAUGUGGCGAUGAAGGCUGCUUCAAUCAGCAAAGAGCAAGCUAUCAACGAAUAAAUCGUUUUCGCUUAGAUUUGAAAAGGGAAACGUAAAGUUUUCCAUCAGCCCUCGUAUGCAGGUGGAUACCCUGUUGGUCGUCACCGAAAGCUGUUUUCAGCAGUAACGAAAAGAAUAUACCAAACAGGGUAGGCGGCAGUACGCAGCCUUGCCGAACACCUUUUCGCAUAAAUAAUCUUGUCUAUAUGAUUUUUAAAAUUAGAAUUGACAAGCUAGCUACAUUAAGUGAUAUAUAAAGGCCGCUUAAGUGUCUGUUCUAGUUUGACCAUAGUCAACUAUAAAGACUUCUUCUUAAUAUUAAGGAAGAUUCUUCAGUUUUACUAAUGAAUAAUGAAUGUUGCAUGCGUCUUGGUAAAGUAAAAUAGUGUCAUUUGCUAUAAAUGUGGUAUAACUAUCACGGAAACAAAUACAAUGAUAUUAUUAAUGUUUAAACUGUCAACGAAUCCCUAGACUAAUUUCACUUCAGCUUCGAAAAUAAACAGGGUAGUCCGUCAAGAAAGAGUAGAUAAAAUGGGACUAAAAGCGAACCACAGUGGCAACACCAAAAAGAAGAUUGGUAUUGAUAAAAUUACGUAUUAACCUGUUAACUAUAAAUGGAGUACUGGAAUAUAGUUGGAUGGUUUAAUAACGGUACUUUUGAUAAUACUAAAUUAUUAAUAAUCUGCGUGAUUUAUCGGUUUGCUAUAUUUUCUACAUUCAUGCUAUAUCCCUUGCACAGAAUCGUUUAAGUUGGUUGUGUGACGUUUAAUUCCAAGUAAGUUUUCUAUCUAAAUCUACCGUAAAAAUCUACCCCUGGGCCCUAUCACAAAAAACGUUACAAGUGCACAAGUCGACAAUAUUGUGACGUAGAUAAUGUGUUACAUGCACAAUUAUUACAUACAUAUCAGAUCUACAAGUUUACAAUUUACAAAAAAUUCACACUUAAAUAACAAAGCUUAACACAAAAGAUGGUGAUUAUCAACUGUAGAUUUAUUCGUACAAUUUACAUAUUUGUUAAAAAUUAAUAAUAAAAUUUGUGGCUUAUUAUGUUUUCUGUCACUUGUAAUUGUAAGUUUUUUUGAUAUAGGGCCCUGUUAUCUUGUCACAACUAUCAAAUUCUUGUAUGUUUUUGUUAAUGUAAUUUUUUAUUUAAAUAUAUUUCUGAGAUAGUGUAUAGUUUUACACAGAAAGGUGGUCUGUGUAGUUUUAUCAACAAAGUUUUGAGUGUUUAGAAUACGGUGUUGCCUGUUGAAGCUGGCGUUAUCAAUUAAUGUCUACUCUUUCUUGUGGGAUUGUAUACAGGAUGUCCUUAGCCGUUGGACAAAGCCGAAAUGUACAUAUGCAUUAGGGUAUUUAGAAUCAGGCUAAGGUCAUCCUGUAUAAACAUAAUGUGUUUAAUGUGCCCCAUCAAAUAUGUUAUUCUGAGGCAAAAGGUACCUCUAUCGAUUGUUAAUAAUUGUUCUUAUUAACAAAGGACAAGGUGCAUUUUGCCUAAAAAUUUAGAAAACAUUAAGCAGGAAUCAGUUGUUUAUUUUAUCGACCUUUGUUGAAAACAGAUGCCUAUUGUUGUAUUGUUAAAUUUAUGAGCUUACGGUAUGUAUUUCACAUUAAACUAGGGCUAUUAAGGCAUUGUUUAAUGUUUAAGUUUGUUUGUGAAUAAAAUAAUGUCUGUUCUCU
Long non-coding RNA from Cydia strobilella, 2982 nucleotides. RefSeq lists it as uncharacterized. Lineage: Eukaryota; Metazoa; Arthropoda; Insecta; Lepidoptera; Tortricidae. The record is from RefSeq and is a predicted model, not a curated record. The transcript is spliced from 2 exons.